GUAAUAUUUUUAAAUACAUCAACUAAAUGCAACUCAGCCACUUUAAUUAAGCUAGAACCUUUUAGGAAUA
This 70-nucleotide transfer RNA is filed under the name Uroplatus lineatus. RNAcentral describes it as "tRNA-Ala". Lineage: Eukaryota; Metazoa; Chordata; Lepidosauria; Squamata; Gekkonidae. The record is from RNAcentral.